Molecule: ribosomal RNA, 253 nt
Filed under: uncultured bacterium
Lineage: Bacteria
Description: partial 16S ribosomal RNA
Rfam family: Bacterial small subunit ribosomal RNA
Source: RNAcentral
UACAGAGGUGGCAAGCGUUGUUCGGAAUUACUGGGCGUAAAGGGCGCGUAGGCGGCCUUCUAAGUCGAACGUGAAAUCCCCGGGCUCAACCCGGGAACUGCGUCCGAGACUGGGAGGCUAGAAUCCGGGAGAGGGAUGUGGAAUUCCAGGUGUAGCGGUGAAAUGCGUAGAUAUCUGGAGGAACAUCGGUGGCGAAGGCGGCUCACUGGACCGGCAUUGACGCUGAGGUGCGAAAGCGUGGGGAGCAAACAGG